CUUUGACGUUAGCGGCGGACGGGUGAGUAACACGUGGGUAACCUACCUAUAAGACUGGGAUAACUUCGGGAAACCGGAGCUAAUACCGGAUAAUAUUUCGAACCGCAUGGUUCGAUAGUGAAAGAUGGUUUUGCUAUCACUUAUAGAUGGACCCGCGCCGUAUUAGCUAGUUGGUAAGGUAACGGCUUACCAAGGCGACGAUACGUAGCCGACCUGAGAGGGUGAUCGGCCACACUGGAACUGAGACACGGUCCAGACUCCUACGGGAGGCAGCAGCG
RNAcentral lists this ribosomal RNA (278 nucleotides) under uncultured Staphylococcus sp. RNAcentral describes it as "partial 16S ribosomal RNA". It matches the Rfam family "Bacterial small subunit ribosomal RNA", at positions 84 to 356 of the family's 1533-position model. Lineage: Bacteria; Bacillati; Bacillota; Bacilli; Caryophanales; Staphylococcaceae. The record is from RNAcentral.